Molecule: ribosomal RNA, 301 nt
Filed under: uncultured bacterium
Lineage: Bacteria
Description: partial 16S ribosomal RNA
Rfam family: Bacterial small subunit ribosomal RNA
Source: RNAcentral
CAGUAGCCGCGGUAAUACAGAGGGUGCAAGCGUUAAUCGGAAUUACUGGGCGUAAAGCGCGCGUAGGUGGUUUGUUAAGUUGGAUGUGAAAUCCCCGGGCUCAACCUGGGAACUGCAUCCAAAACUGGCAAGCUAGAGUAUGGUAGAGGGUGGUGGAAUUUCCUGUGUAGCGGUGAAAUGCGUAGAUAUAGGAAGGAACACCAGUGGCGAAGGCGACCACCUGGACUGAUACUGACACUGAGGUGCGAAAGCGUGGGGAGCAAACAGGAUUAGAUAACCCGGUAGUCCCUGUCUCUUAUAC